RNAcentral lists this ribosomal RNA (291 nucleotides) under uncultured prokaryote. Its description in RNAcentral is "partial 16S ribosomal RNA". It matches the Rfam family "Archaeal small subunit ribosomal RNA", at positions 455 to 745 of the family's 1478-position model. The record is from RNAcentral.
GCGUCAGCAGCCGCGGUAAUACCGGCAGCCCAAGUGAUGGCCGAUCUUAUUGGGCCUAAAGCGUCCGUAGCUGGCCACGCAAGUCCAUCGGGAAAUCCACCUGCCCAACAGGUGGGCGGCCGGUAGAAACUGCGUGGCUUGGGACCGGAAGGCGCGACGGGUACGUCCGGGGCAGGAGUGAACUCCCGUAAUCCCGGACGGACCGCCGAUCGCGAAAGCACGUCGCGAGAACGGAUCCGACAGGGAGGGACGAAAGCCAGGGUCUCGAACCGGAUUAGAAACCCGCGUAGU